UUCAAACAUGCGAGCUCUGCUUGAAAUCUAACAGUAAGGGAAAGACCACUUUUGGUCACGCUGGUGUGACGACAUCUUCACAACUGGGAUUGACGCGGCCUUUGUUGUGUGUGCUCUGAGUCCCCUCCCUGCCUCCCCAAGUCGUGUUCAGAUGGCAAAAUAUCCCAGGAUUGCCACAUCGGACUCCUGCCAGUUGUUUCCGUGUCUCUAGCUUUGUCCUCUUCAAAUGUAGGACAUGCCGAGCACACGCGUGUGUGUUUGUGCGGCAGGGGGUCAGAAACGUGGGUUCGUGGGCCCUUGGACCCUGGAGAGAACCUGGGUGGGUCAGAGAGCAGAGAGUGGAGGUGGGAAAUAAAAAAUGAGGCCCUCGUCAGAGAGAUGAUGUGCCAGAUGUAGUCACUGCCACCAAGGCUCACAGGGAGAAACUGCUUCCCAGUUUGCCGGUAAACUCCACCCCUUUGCUGUUGGGAGAGAUUAUUCUUCACUGCAAAGCAGCGCCUCCCUUUUCUCUGUGCUUCUUGGCGGCCUUCCUCCACCAUAUCCUCAAGCAUGAUGCUCCUGCCUUGGAGUCAGCCAGCCAGGGACUAAUCCUCUGAAAACUAUCUCCUUUAUGCAUAGAAGGAACCAUGACAAACACGCAGGGAGACUGUGACCCUCGAUGCCUGAUGCUAUGCCUGGCUUGUUCAGGUGCUUGAAAGAUCUCAGUGUUAAGCAAGUAAAUGACACUUGGACGACAAUCCGGCUGCUUUUACUUCUGAGCUGCGGCUCUUCCUGGGCACAUCAGCUGAUCAGCCCAGACUUCUCAGCUCUCUGUUAGCUGCCUGUCCUCACACAAUCACCCCCUGACACUGGCAGGAUUACAACCUUGGCUUAAAACACUCCUGGUGGGUCAGCUUGCAAAACUCUAGCACUUCCUGGUGAUGAAUGAACUUCUAGACUACUGACCCCAACAAAUCCUGAAGCAACAGAUCUGAAUAGAUGUUUCUCAAAAGAACACACGCAAACAGUUAGAAGCGCAACCUCAUCCACUUCCACAGAAAUGCAAAUCUACACCGCAGUGAGAUGGCACCUCACACCUGUUGGAAUGGCUGUCAACAGAAGAACAAAAGACAAGCAGUGUUGGCAAGGGUGUGGCUGUGGGCAUCCCUGGUACACUCUUGGAGGGAAUGCAAAUUGGUAUAGCCACCAUGGGAAGCAUAAAAUGGGAAAUGGAGUCACCGCAUAACCCUACAAUCCACUUCCACUA
Molecule: long non-coding RNA, 1246 nt
Organism: Chinchilla lanigera (long-tailed chinchilla)
Lineage: Eukaryota; Metazoa; Chordata; Mammalia; Rodentia; Chinchillidae
Exons: 5
Source: RefSeq, a predicted model, not a curated record